RNAcentral lists this ribosomal RNA (321 nucleotides) under uncultured archaeon. RNAcentral describes it as "partial 16S ribosomal RNA". It matches the Rfam family "Archaeal small subunit ribosomal RNA", at positions 130 to 450 of the family's 1478-position model. The record is from RNAcentral.
CUCUGGGAAACUGGGGAUAAUACUGGAUAUUAGGCUAUGCCUGGAAUGGUUUGCCUUUGAAAUGUUUUUUUUCGCCUAAGGAUAGGUCUGCGGCUGAUUAGGUCGUUGGUGGGGUAAUGGCCCACCAAGCCGAUGAUCGGUACGGGUUGUGAGAGCAAGGGCCCGGAGAUGGAACCUGAGACAAGGUUCCAGACCCUACGGGGUGCAGCAGGCGCGAAACCUCCGCAAUGUACGAAAGUGCGACGGGGGGAUCCCAAGUGUUAUGCUUUUUUGUAUGACUUUUCAUUAUGUAAAAAGCUUUUAGAAUAAGAGCUGGGCAAG